RNAcentral lists this ribosomal RNA (1449 nucleotides) under uncultured organism. Its description in RNAcentral is "SSU rRNA". It matches the Rfam family "Bacterial small subunit ribosomal RNA". The record is from RNAcentral.
AGCUACAGGCUUAACACAUGCAAGUCGAGGGGCAGCAUGGUCUUAGCUUGCUAAGGCCGAUGGCGACCGGCGCACGGGUGAGUAACACGUAUCCAACCUGCCGUCUACUCUUGGACAGCCUUCUGAAAGGAAGAUUAAUACAAGAUGGCAUCAUGAGUCCGCAUGUUCACAUGAUUAAAGGUAUUCCGGUAGACGAUGGGGAUGCGUUCCAUUAGAUAGUAGGCGGGGUAACGGCCCACCUAGUCUUCGAUGGAUAGGGGUUCUGAGAGGAAGGUCCCCCACAUUGGAACUGAGACACGGUCCAAACUCCUACGGGAGGCAGCAGUGAGGAAUAUUGGUCAAUGGGCGAGAGCCUGAACCAGCCAAGUAGCGUGAAGGAUGACUGCCCUAUGGGUUGUAAACUUCUUUUAUAAAGGAAUAAAGUCGGGUAUGGAUACCCGUUUGCAUGUACUUUAUGAAUAAGGAUCGGCUAACUCCGUGCCAGCAGCCGCGGUAAUACGGAGGAUCCGAGCGUUAUCCGGAUUUAUUGGGUUUAAAGGGAGCGUAGAUGGAUGUUUAAGUCAGUUGUGAAAGUUUGCGGCUCAACCGUAAAAUUGCAGUUGAUACUGGAUAUCUUGAGUGCAGUUGAGGCAGGCGGAAUUCGUGGUGUAGCGGUGAAAUGCUUAGAUAUCACGAAGAACUCCGAUUGCGAAGGCAGCCUGCUAAGCUGCAACUGACAUUGAGGCUCGAAAGUGUGGGUAUCAAACAGGAUUAGAUACCCUGGUAGUCCACACGGUAAACGAUGAAUACUCGCUGUUUGCGAUAUACUGCAAGCGGCCAAGCGAAAGCGUUAAGUAUUCCACCUGGGGAGUACGCCGGCAACGGUGAAACUCAAAGGAAUUGACGGGGGCCCGCACAAGCGGAGGAACAUGUGGUUUAAUUCGAUGAUACGCGAGGAACCUUACCCGGGCUUAAAUUGCAGAUGAAUUACGGUGAAAGCCGUAAGCCGCAAGGCAUCUGUGAAGGUGCUGCAUGGUUGUCGUCAGCUCGUGCCGUGAGGUGUCGGCUUAAGUGUCAUAACGAGCGCAACCCUUGUUGUCAGUUACUAACAGGUUCCGCUGAGGACUCUGACAAGACUGCCAUCGUAAGAUGUGAGGAAGGUGGGGAUGACGUCAAAUCAGCACGGCCCUUACGUCCGGGGCUACACACGUGUUACAAUGGGGGGUACAGAGGGCCGCUACCACGCGAGUGGAUGCCAAUCCCCAAAACCUCUCUCAGUUCGGACUGGAGUCUGCAACCCGACUCCACGAAGCUGGAUUCGCUAGUAAUCGCGCAUCAGCCACGGCGCGGUGAAUACGUUCCCGGGCCUUGUACACACCGCCCGUCAAGCCAUGGGAGCCGGGGGUACCUGAAGUACGUAACCGCAAGGAUCGUCCUAGGGUAAAACUGGUGACUGGGGCUAAGUCAUAA